This is a ribosomal RNA of Fusarium oxysporum f. sp. lycopersici 4287, 121 nucleotides long. Lineage: Eukaryota; Fungi; Ascomycota; Sordariomycetes; Hypocreales; Nectriaceae. The record is from Rfam.
ACAUACGACCAUACCUAUCAGAGAACUCGGGAUCCCGUCCGCUCUCCCAUAGAUAAGCUGGUAAGGGGGCGGAUUAGUAGUUGGGUCGGUGACGACCAGCGAAUCCCCGCUGUUGUAUGUU